AACGAACGCUGGCGGCAUGCCUAACACAUGCAAGUCGAACGAGACCUUCGGGUCUAGUGGCGCACGGGUGCGUAACGCGUGGGAACCUGCCCUUAGGUUCGGAAUAACUCCCCGAAAGGGGUGCUAAAACCGGAUAAUGUCUUCGGACCAAAGAUUUAUCGCCUUUGGAUGGGCCCGCGUUGGAUUAGCUAGUUGGUAGGGUAAAAGCCUACCAAGGCGACGAUCCAUAGCUGGUCUGAGAGGAUGAUCAGCCACACUGGGACUGAGACACGGCCCAGACUCCUACGGGAGGCAGCAGUGGGGAAUAUUGGACAAUGGGCGAAAGCCUGAUCCAGCAAUGCCGCGUGAGUGAUGAAGGCCUUAGGGUUGUAAAGCUCUUUUACCCGGGAUGAUAAUGACAGUACCGGGAGAAUAAGCGCCGGCUAACUCCGUG
This 433-nucleotide ribosomal RNA is filed under the name uncultured bacterium. RNAcentral's name for it is "partial 16S ribosomal RNA". It matches the Rfam family "Bacterial small subunit ribosomal RNA", at positions 29 to 507 of the family's 1533-position model. The record is from RNAcentral.